CCUUGGAACAGGACGUCAUGGAGGGUGAGAAUCCCGUANGCGACCGGNNACCNNCCCCNUGUGAAACCCCUUCGACGAGUCGAGUUGUUUGGGAAUGCAGCUCCAAAUGGGUGGUAAAUUNCAUCUAAAGCUAAAUACCGGCCGGAGACCGAUAGCGCACAAGUAGAGUGAUCGAAAGAUGAAAAGCACUUUGGAAAGAGAGUCAAACAGUACGUGAAAUUGUUGAAAGGGAAGCGCUUGCGACCAGACCUGGUCCCGGGCGAUC
This 265-nucleotide ribosomal RNA is filed under the name Cecidonia xenophana. RNAcentral's name for it is "partial large subunit ribosomal RNA". It matches the Rfam family "Eukaryotic large subunit ribosomal RNA", at positions 188 to 450 of the family's 3401-position model. The record is from RNAcentral. Lineage: Eukaryota; Fungi; Ascomycota; Lecanoromycetes; Lecideales; Lecideaceae.